GAUGAACGCUGGCGGCGUGCCUAAUACAUGCAAGUCGAGCGAACGGACGAGAAGCUUGCUUCUCUGAUGUUAGCGGCGGACGGGUGAGUAACACGUGGAUAACCUACCUAUAAGACUGGGAUAACUUCGGGAAACCGGAGCUAAUACCGGAUAAUAUUUUGAACCGCAUGGUUCAAAAGUGAAAGACGGUCUUGCUGUCACUUAUAGAUGGAUCCGCGCUGCAUUAGCUAGUUGGUAAGGUAACGGCUUACCAAGGCAACGAUGCAUAGCCGACCUGAGAGGGUGAUCGGCCACACUGGAACUGAGACACGGUCCAGACUCCUACGGGAGGCAGCAGUAGGGAAUCUUCCGCAAUGGGCGAAAGCCUGACGGAGCAACGCCGCGUGAGUGAUGAAGGUCUUCGGAUCGUAAAACUCUGUUAUUAGGGAAGAACAUAUGUGUAAGUAACUGUGCACAUCUUGACGGUACCUAAUCAGAAAGCCACGGCUAACUACGUGCCAGCAGCCGCGGUAAUACGUAGGUGGCAAGCGUUAUCCGGAAUUAUUGGGCGUAAAGCGCGCGUAGGCGGUUUUUUAGUCUGAUGUGAAAGCCCACGGCUCAACCGUGGAGGGUCAUUGGAAACUGGAAAACUUGAGUGCAGAAGAGGAAAGUGGAAUUCCAUGUGUAGCGGUGAAAUGCGCAGAGAUAUGGAGGAACACCAGUGGCGAAGGCGACUUUCUGGUCUGUAACUGACGCUGAUGUGCGAAAGCGUGGGGAUCAAACAGGAUUAGAUACCCUGGUAGUCCACGCCGUAAACGAUGAGUGCUAAGUGUUAGGGGGUUUCCGCCCCUUAGUGCUGCAGCUAACGCAUUAAGCACUCCGCCUGGGGAGUACGACCGCAAGGUUGAAACUCAAAGGAAUUGACGGGGACCCGCACAAGCGGUGGAGCAUGUGGUUUAAUUCGAAGCAACGCGAAGAACCUUACCAAAUCUUGACAUCCUUUGACAACUCUAGAGAUAGAGCUUUCCCCUUCGGGGGACAAAGUGACAGGUGGUGCAUGGUUGUCGUCAGCUCGUGUCGUGAGAUGUUGGGUUAAGUCCCGCAACGAGCGCAACCCUUAAGCUUAGUUGCCAUCAUUAAGUUGGGCACUCUAAGUUGACUGCCGGUGACAAACCGGAGGAAGGUGGGGAUGACGUCAAAUCAUCAUGCUCCUUAUGAUUUGGGCUACACACGUGCUACAAUGGACAAUACAAAGGGCAGCGAAACCGUGAGGUCAAGCAAAUCCCAUAAAGUUGUUCUCAGUUCGGAUUGUAGUCUGCAACUCGACUACAUGAAGCUGGAAUCGCUAGUAAUCGUAGAUCAGCAUGCUACGGUGAAUACGUUCCCGGGUCU
This 1371-nucleotide ribosomal RNA is filed under the name uncultured bacterium. RNAcentral describes it as "bacterial SSU rRNA". It matches the Rfam family "Bacterial small subunit ribosomal RNA", at positions 28 to 1381 of the family's 1533-position model. The record is from RNAcentral.